ACUACUUCUGCGCCUGCGCGACCGUGAUUCCCCGCUCGCGACUCCCCACCCCCCAGGGCUCCCUAAAGAGGGCCACGAGCUGCGAAAGGGCGGGAAAGGCAGUUGGAGAAGAGGUAAGCGGUUACUCACUCCAUGGCUGCAGCAAGGAGAGGCGGCGGCGGCCUCGGCUGAAGAAAGAAGGUGGGAGCGGAGAGCGCAGGCGUGGUGAGCGCGGAGACGGGCCGGGGGCACAAAGGGGUCGAGGCUACAGAGCCAUGGCCGGGGCUACGCAGGCAGAGGCGGCGACACUGUAGUGAGAAGAGACUGUGAUCCGAGGACAGGGAAUGAGGGGCAGGCGGUUAGCUGGCGGUGCAGGGCCUCGGCGCGGGUCAGCACGUCCUCCACGCUCAGCUUCAUAGUCAGCUCGUUGAUGUGCUGCGGGAGGGGGUGGGUCAGGCGCCAGUCGGCACUCAACCACCUCCGCCCGAGCGCCCACUCUGUGCUUCGUGCUUGAGGAUCUCAUUGGAGCCGAAGCCGGACAGCAUGAGGGUGUCCCUCUCCAUGUCCAGGAUGGCGCAGGCCACCAGCAGGUGCAGAUUGGGGCCAGGGAGCCCUGUCCACAGCACCUCCCACAGCCGAAGGACAUCCGGGAAGGGGAAUUCCCUCUUGAACCAGAUGAGCAGCCACCGGAAACAGAAGCAGAGAGAGCCGGAGUCCUGGGAAUCUGGGGGAUGACAUGGAGCCCACUCAGCCUUGCCCAGCGCUGGGACUGAGAGUUUGAGAAGUCAUCCUGACUGGAAGACCUUCCCCAAGUCUAG
RNAcentral lists this long non-coding RNA (797 nucleotides) under Homo sapiens (human). RNAcentral's name for it is "non-protein coding lnc-NUP62-1:17". The record is from RNAcentral. Lineage: Eukaryota; Metazoa; Chordata; Mammalia; Primates; Hominidae.